This is a non-coding RNA of Microcebus murinus (gray mouse lemur), 3800 nucleotides long. The record is from RefSeq and is a predicted model, not a curated record. Lineage: Eukaryota; Metazoa; Chordata; Mammalia; Primates; Cheirogaleidae.
UGAGGCGCCGCCAUCGGCUCUGAGCCUGCAGCGCCCACUGUCCCGCCACACCACGCCCAGGAGCCGCUGUGCCGUGGGACCAAGACCCCGCGAGCGCCGCGGCACCGAGGGCCUGGCUCACGCUCUCCUCUCCCGGGAAGGCGACACGGAGACUUCGGUGCUGCCUCCUCAGCUUCACCAGCCCUACGGCCUCAGCCACCUUCUGCCCUGUGAACACAUUUUUGCACCUCAACUUCACAGACUCUGAAACUGAAAUUGGAAUCACCUCUGUGUGCACCGUGUGACUUCUCUUAGAACCUCAAAACAGACGGAAGGAAACCACGACAAAGGAAAGAAGAUGAGGAAGAGGACAGCCACCCACAUGCUACUGAGCUCCCCAGGACAAUGGCAGGUGACAGCCAGGCAGGUCAGGGAAGACCACCUGUGACCACAUGUUCCAACUGAUUUCAACCCCCUGGAAAGCUGCCUGCCACAGACCCGGCCCCGGCACAAAGCACGAAGUGAAGGUUGUGAGGCUGAGACCAGGUGGGCGAGGCCAUCAGGUGAGGACAGGUGGGUCAGCUGUGCUUGAGGCCAAGCGAGUACAGGCAGGAGGGGAGGGCCGAAGAUUAUUAACAUGGCCAGAAGGUCGGACCUGGAAGGCAAAGCCAGGAGAUUGAAGCAAGAAGGAGGUAAGAGCAAGAAGGUUAAGGCUGGUGAACAGGGCCAGGGGGCAGGCAAGGAGGCUACAGCUGGUGGGUAAGACCAGAGUGGUGAUGCCAAGAUGUUAGGCCAGGCAAGCAAGCCAGGUACGGAGGAGGAAGAGGUUAAGGCCAGGUGAGCAGGGAAGAGGAGGGGAAGGAGGAGGGAAGGGAUGGCCAACUGUGACCGCCCCACCCCGGCGCCCACAGCUCCCCCGUCCAGCCGGGGUGCAGGUGCUGCACGUCCCCUGCGCCAGGAAGCAAAGGCAGCUUGGCCGGAGGAUGCCAGCCCUCACCUGCCGGGCACUGUGGGCCACAGCACGUGUGGCCCCAGCUACAGUCUCCAACAGGCCGCAUCUGCGACAGAAGUCCCCAGCUCCCUCUCACUUGCGUACAUCACGUGUGGUCACGUCUCUUGCACUCCAGAGAGAAGCAAGAAGCAAACAAGGUGGCAAAUCCCACGGCCACGCAUCCAUGAGCCCCUGGGGCCUGCCUGCACCUGCUGCUCCCAUGAGAUGGGUCAGGGCCCGGGCGCCAGGGUGGGGCAGGGGGGGCAACACGAGGGCAGCUUUCUCAACAGCACCAACUCUGGGCCGGGGGCUCUGCCAGGGGCUGUCAGUCACCCACCAGGUCUGGGAGCGCACCCACCCCGCCCCACCGAGACAGUCAUGGCCCUUCCUGAACAUUGCACCAUCUCCCUCUGCACAGAACCACGGACUCAAAGUGCGGUUUGAGGCUGCACUGUCUCUAAGACCCAGCUUCUCUGCAGAGCUAACAGAUAAAUAAGUACGUUUAGUAGUUAAUAUACUAAUUAAGGCUAUAUGCUCAACCUUGAUUUCUAAUUAAGAACAUGAGACCUACACGACCAGAAAUCGGCCUAAAAGGAAGCCAGGCAGCAGCUCCCCAUGGCUGUCCGUAAAUGCCUGUCUUGGGAGCACCAGCUCACCCCACAGUGAUUCUGACAAACACAGAGAGUGACUAUUUCAUAACGCAACAUGUGUCAAAAUCUCAAAGGAAGUGCAAGCUCUCCUUCCAUACAGGAAAUUAGAAAACAAAAAUACCAGUUAGAAUUUUUUUGUUCAUAGACAAUCUGAGCAGCAACACAAAAUUUCUGCCAGCCAACAUGGGAGCACAGUGAGCUGGCUGAAAUGGAGCCCUGACAGGCAGAGCUGCCGCCCCUGGGUCAACACGCCUGGACAGCAGGUGCCGUGACUGCGGUGGCCUCCAGGAAGGCUCUGCUCCCAGUGCAGUGGCACAGGAGGCUGGGUGCUGGGGAAGUGCCCAGGUCCUGAGGGUGGAGCCUCAGGGUGGGGCCAGAGCCCUUAAAGAAAGGACCAGAGAGCUGCUUCCCCUCCCCGACAUGGAGACACAGUGACAGGCGUCCAGAGGAGGAGGGCAGAGAACGCAGGGGACCACUAACUAACUCAGGCUAGAGGCCACCCAGCUGCACAGGUCUGCCACGGUGGCUGCAGCUGGUGACCAUGGACCAGGGGUCAUGCUGUGUCCAGUAAAACUCCAUCUGCAGAGCAGGCCACGGAAGUCUGGCGGCACUCAGCACAGGUGCAAAGACACCACGCUGGGGCCAAACCACAGGGUGGAGGGUAAUAGUGACACAAAACCCGAGAGAAGAGGCCACAGAACAUGGCCAUGACCAAUCUUGCCCAGAGACAAGGCCACAGAUGUGCCGUGGGAGCCCACACAUGCCACAGGAGGACGGAAACUGUGUCCAGCACCAGGGCUACCCACCACAGGUUGCACCAUGGGACAAGAGCGCUCGUGCUGCCUCACGCGCCCACACCCAUUGGACGAGGUUGAAAAAGAUACAAAUUUGCCCUCACUUGCCCUCGUGAAAACCAUUAAAAACUUAUUUAUUCUACCGAUGGCUUCCCUUUUAUCAGCAACAACCUGGCAGACAGAAAUCCAGUCCCUUUUACAACAGCCACAAACCACGAAGGAAUGAUCUUAACAAGUGCUCAGAGCUGAGAGCUACAUGGUGUCACUGAGGGACACCUGAUGGCCGGAGCCCAUCCAUGCAUUGGCAGAAACGCUAACAUGGCAGCCCACACGUGAUGAGCACGACUGCAGACAGCUGCCUGAAAGCCAAUGUGCCGGCCAGGAGGGCCCAGCCUCCCACUUCCCAGCUCCCGGCCUCGUCCACUACCUGCCCAAGGCCACCAGGAUUUGGCCAUGGUGGGGUCUGGUCUCAAGAGCCCGUGAGACCCACUUGGCUGGCGCAUCACGCCCAGCACAAGGAACUGGGGGCAGCGCUAGCCCACAGGCCUCAAGGGACUGGACCCCACACCAGGAGCCACCCAGCAAAACCCAACACACUGGCAGAACCCAACACAUGCCUGGCAGAACCAAACACACGCCUGACAGAACCCAGCAUAAUCCAACACACACCCAACAGAACCCAGCAGAACCCGACACACACCCAACAGAGCCCAGCAGAAUCCGACACACACCCAACAGAACCCAGCAGAACCCAACACACACCCAACAGAGCCCAGCAGAAUCCGACACACACCCAACAGAACCCAGCAGAACCCGACACACACCUUACAGAGCCCAGCAGAACCCAACACACACCCAACAGAACCCAGCAGAGUCCAACACACACCCAACAGAACCCAGAAGAACCCAACACAUGCCUAACAGAGCCCAGCAGAACCCAACAGAAUCCAGCAGAACCCAACAGAGCCCAGGAGAAUCCAACAUACACCUGAUAAGAGCCCAGCAGAACCCAACAGAGCCCAGCAGAACCCAACACACACCCGACAGAGCCCAGCAGAACCCAACACACACCCAACAGAGCCCAGCAGAACCCAACACACACCCAACAGAACCCAGCACACACCCGACAGAACCUGACACACACCUGACAGAGCCCAGCAGAACCCAACCGAACCCCAUACACACCCAACAGAACCCAAUACACACCUGACAGAGCCUAGCAGAACCCAACAGAACCCAGUACAUACCCAACAGAACCCCCCACACACCCAACAGAACCCAGUGGAACCCCACACACCCCCGGCAGAACCCGACGGAGCAGCUGAAAGCCGCGGAAGGCUGCAGGGAGGGAGGUGUGGCGCAGGGAGAGGGCCUCCCCCCGCCCCC